UGGGGAAUCUUCCGCAAUGGACGAAAGUCUGACGGAGCAACGCCGCGUGAGUGAAGACGGCCUUCGGGUUGUAAAGCUCUGUGAUCCGGGACGAAAGAGCCUGAGGUGAAUAGCCUAAGGAAGUGACGGUACCGGAAAAGCAAGCCACGGCUAACUACGUGCCAGCAGCCGCGGUAAUACGUAGGUGGCAAGCGUUGUCCGGAAUUAUUGGGCGUAAAGCGCGGGCAGGCGGCUUCCUAAGUCCAUCUUAAAAGUGCGGGGCUUAACCCCGUGAUGGGAUGGAAACUGGGAAGCUGGAGUAUCGGGGAGGAAAGUGGAAUUCCUAGUGUAGCGGUGAAAUGCGUAGAGAUUAGGAAGAACACCGGUGGCGAAGGCGACUUUCUGGACGAAAACUGACGCUGAGGCGCGAAAGCGUGGGGAGCAAACAGG
This 429-nucleotide ribosomal RNA is filed under the name Fusobacteriota bacterium. RNAcentral describes it as "Fusobacteria bacterium partial 16S ribosomal RNA". It matches the Rfam family "Bacterial small subunit ribosomal RNA", at positions 355 to 776 of the family's 1533-position model. The record is from RNAcentral. Lineage: Bacteria; Fusobacteriati; Fusobacteriota.